CAAAGUGUCUCAUCCUGCUUUUUGUUUUACUCAAAGUAAAACAAAAAGCAGGAUGAGACACUUUG
Molecule: small RNA, 65 nt
Filed under: Mytilus galloprovincialis (Mediterranean mussel)
Lineage: Eukaryota; Metazoa; Mollusca; Bivalvia; Mytilida; Mytilidae
Source: RNAcentral